UCUGUGAAAUUAACUUUAAAUUUGAGUAAAUAAUUAGUAAGAGUUGGUAAAUAAAAUAUGUUAGAAAAUUAGUAUUUACAUUAGAAAGUAUAUAUAGUAAAGUGAUGGAUUUAAGUACCGAGAGGGAAAAUUUAAGAUAGGAUUGAAUAAGAAAAAAUUAAAUGUUGUUCCUUUUGUAUCAUGAUUUAACUAGAUUUAUUUCAAUAAAUUUUGUUUCCCGAAAUUAGUUGAGCUAUUAAAUUUUAUAUAGCUAAUGUGGCAAAAUUAGAUUUUAGUUUUUAAUAGAUGUUAAAUGCUUAUCGCAACUAAUGAUAGCUGGUUAAUUUGAAAAUAUAUUUUAGUAUAGCAUUAGAUGGUAAAUACUUGUUCUUAUUAGUAUUAAGUUCGAGUUGCAUCUAAUAGUUGGAUUUAGGGGGAUAAGCUCUUGAAUAUAUAAAGAAAUAGGUUUAAUUUGGUAUUUAAAGUGUGGGCUUAGAAUUAGCCAUCGUGAAUAGAAGUUUGUUUUAAAAUAUUGAUAUUUUUAAGAAUUAAAUAAUUUUAAAGUUUUCUUAAAAUAAACAAAUUUAUAUAAGAUGAAUAUUAAUAUCUUAUGAGAUACUGUUAAAAUGAGUAUAAUUUUAUCGGAAAUGGUUAAUUUAAAAUUUAAGUUAUUUAACUUUUAAUUUUUAAAUAUUUUUAAAAGAUAAAAAGGAACUCGGCAAAAUAUUUAGCUUCGCUUGUUUAUCAAAAACAUCUCUCUUUGUUAUUAAUUUAAAUAUAAGGAGUCGUGCCUGCUCAAUGAUUAUUAAAAUUAAAUAGCCGCAGUACCCUGACUGUGCAAAGGUAGCAUAAUCAUUUGCCCUAUAAUUGAGGGCUGGAAUGAAUGGUUUGACGAAAGCUUAACUGUCUUUUUAUUUUUAAUUAUAAAUUAAUUUUUAAGUGAAGAAGCUUAAAUAAAUAAAAGGGACGAGAAGACCCUAUUGAGUUUAAAUUUAUAAUUUUUAAGGUUUAUUUAUAUUAUAUAAAAUUAUUAUAAUUAUUAAAUUUUAGUUGGGGCAACUAAGGAAUAAAUAAAACUUCCUAAAGCAUAUAUUAGAAUUAUUGUUAUUGAUCCAUUGAAUAAAUAAUGAUUAAUAGAUAUAAUUACCAUAGGGAUAACAGCGUAAUUUUUUCUGAGAGUUCUAAUCGAAGAAGAAGAUUGCGACCUCGAUGUUGGACUAAGGGAUUCUUAGAGGAGCAAAAAUUUCUAAAGUAAGUCUGUUCGACUUUUAAAACCUUACAUGAUCUGAGUUCAGACCGGCGUGAGCCAGGUUGGUUUCUAUCUUUUUUAUAACAGAUUCUUAAUUAGUACGAAAGGACCAUUAAAUAAGAAUAAUUUUAAUAAAUUAAGUUAUAAGAUUUAGUUUAAAAUUUAUUUUAAAUAUAAUA
RNAcentral lists this ribosomal RNA (1407 nucleotides) under Ennucula tenuis. Its description in RNAcentral is "16S ribosomal RNA". The stretch from base 940 to 1306 matches the Rfam family "Bacterial large subunit ribosomal RNA", at positions 2074 to 2646 of the family's 2925-position model. Lineage: Eukaryota; Metazoa; Mollusca; Bivalvia; Nuculida; Nuculidae. The record is from RNAcentral.